This 1088-nucleotide long non-coding RNA is filed under the name Malus domestica (apple). Its description in RNAcentral is "long non-coding RNA (MDOM_LNC013200)". The record is from RNAcentral. Lineage: Eukaryota; Viridiplantae; Streptophyta; Magnoliopsida; Rosales; Rosaceae.
GACGUAGUCUUGGUUUCAAUUAAAUCGAAGAUAGCUAGCUACAACUAAAUGGUGAUUCAAUGUUUGGACAUUAUAUGGGUUUCCGAAACCAUUAUUAAGAUAGUCUUGAUAAUACAUGUCUAAAACUAUAAAUCACAAGACAUGUAAGUUGUACAGAUCCAUCCAUCAUGAAUCUAAGCAAGCUAGUGGGAGCUAUGAGCAUCUUAUGAGAAAAGGUUCAAAUUGUUUGAUUUCUCAUAAAGAUGUAAAUGAAUCUUUUGUUUACUAGGUUUACAAAAGAUUAGUGGGAGUUAAUCAUAUUCCUAAAUUUAAAUAUAUAUUUGAUAUAUUAAUUUUGGAAAUGAAAAGAAAACUUCUUCAUUAAAGUUAUGACUUUAAACAUUCCAUAACGAUAGAAUGUAUAUGGGAGUUAAUCAUGUUCCUAAAAUUUAAAUAUAUAUGAUAUAUUAAUUUUGGAAAUGAAAAGAAUACUUCUUCGUUAAAGUUAUGACUUUAAAACAUUAUAUGAAGAUAGAAUGUAUAUGGGAGAUAUAGUCUAUAUACAUGGGAUGGAAAUCUAUAAUGAUAUAUUUCAUGAUAUAAUUGGAUUAUAUCAAUCCCUAAUAAUAGACAAUAGAUGCUAGGAAGUUUCUCAUAUGAUGAUAAACUUCAAUUAGAAGGAAAACUCUAGUGAGACUAAGAAGUUGCUCUUCUCAAAGAGAACGUACUCUUUGACUCCCAAAGAAACAAUGCGUAAAUAGAAUCCUUUAUGCAUACGCAUAAAGGGGAUUUAUGUAUUUCAUAUUGUAUGAAAAACAUUGAUAUGAGUUGUACAUAGAAUGAUACAAGACGAUAUCAGUGCAAGCCCAGGAUCAGAACCAUGGCAACUGUCAAGUGAGUCCUUAAGUAUUUAAGAAAUACUAAAGGAUAGAUUCCUCAAAAAUUGAGGAAGAAUUAGAGUAACGUAAUGGAAGCGUAAAUGUAUUAGAUUAUGAAUCUAAUCCAUCAUUGGAUGUUUCUUCACUUUGAAUGAAAAGAUAAUCAGAUAUCUCUUUAUUAUGACUAAAGAGAUAUUUGGAUGGAAACAUUAAAAGUAAUGACUUUAGUGU